This 73-nucleotide transfer RNA is filed under the name Ovis aries (sheep). It matches the Rfam family "tRNA". From Rfam's summary of the family: Transfer RNA (tRNA) molecules are approximately 80 nucleotides in length. Their secondary structure includes four short double-helical elements and three loops (D, anti-codon, and T loops). The record is from Rfam by way of RNAcentral. Lineage: Eukaryota; Metazoa; Chordata; Mammalia; Artiodactyla; Bovidae.
UUCCCUGGAGUCCAGUUGUUAGGACUCAGCGCUUUUACUGCUGUGGUCCUGGGUUCAAUUCCUGGUUGGGGAA